ACUUAAAUAGCUUAUAUUUAGAGCUUGAUAUUGAAGAUAUCACAGAAGUUUAAAACUUUUAAGUA
RNAcentral lists this transfer RNA (65 nucleotides) under Psylliodes heydeni. RNAcentral's name for it is "tRNA-Phe". Lineage: Eukaryota; Metazoa; Arthropoda; Insecta; Coleoptera; Chrysomelidae. The record is from RNAcentral.